RNAcentral lists this ribosomal RNA (440 nucleotides) under uncultured Paracoccaceae bacterium. Its description in RNAcentral is "bacterial SSU rRNA". It matches the Rfam family "Bacterial small subunit ribosomal RNA", at positions 925 to 1382 of the family's 1533-position model. The record is from RNAcentral. Lineage: Bacteria; Pseudomonadati; Pseudomonadota; Alphaproteobacteria; Rhodobacterales; Paracoccaceae.
ACAAGCGGUGGAGCAUGUGGUUUAAUUUCGAAGCAACGCGCAGAACCUUUACCAACCCUUGACAUGGGUAUUCGCGGAUCCAGAGAUGGAUCUUUCAGUUCGGCUGGGAUACCACACAGGUGCUGCAUGGCUGUCGUCAGCUCGUGUCGUGAGAUGUUCGGUUAAGUCCGGCAACGAGCGCAACCCACACUCUUAGUUGCCAUCAUUCAGUUGGGCACUCUAGGAGAACUGCCGGUGAUAAGCCGGAGGAAGGUGUGGAUGACGUCAAGUCCUCAUGGCCCUUACGGGUUGGGCUACACACGUGCUACAAUGGUGGUGACAAUGGGUUAAUCCCAAAAAGCCAUCUCAGUUCGGAUUGGGGUCUGCAACUCGACCCCAUGAAGUCGGAAUCGCUAGUAAUCGCGUAACAGCAUGACGCGGUGAAUACGUUCCCGGGCCUU